CCUACGGGGGGCUGCAGUGGGGAAUAUUGGACAAUGGGCGAAAGCCUGAUCCAGCCAUGCCGCGUGUGUGAAGAAGGCCUUCGGGUUGUAAAGCACUUUCAGUGGGGAAGAAAGCCUUGGGGCUAAUACCCUCGAGGAAGGACAUCACCCACAGAAGAAGCACCGGCUAACUCCGUGCCAGCAGCCGUGGUAAUACGGAGGGUGCGAGCGUUAAUCGGAAUUACUGGGCGUAAAGCGCGCGUAGGCGGUCUGAUAAGCCGGUUGUGAAAGCCCCGGGCUCAACCUGGGAACGGCAUCCGGAACUGUCAGGCUAGAGUGCAGGAGAGGAAGGUAGAAUUCCCGGUGUAGCGGUGAAAUGCGUAGAGAUCGGGAGGAAUACCAGUGGCGAAGGCGGCCUUCUGGACUGACACUGACGCUGAGGUGCGAAAGCGUGGGUAGCAAACAGGAUUAGAUACCCGAGUAGUC
This 465-nucleotide ribosomal RNA is filed under the name Vreelandella stevensii. RNAcentral's name for it is "partial 16S ribosomal RNA". It matches the Rfam family "Bacterial small subunit ribosomal RNA", at positions 338 to 795 of the family's 1533-position model. The record is from RNAcentral. Lineage: Bacteria; Pseudomonadati; Pseudomonadota; Gammaproteobacteria; Oceanospirillales; Halomonadaceae.